AUUGAACGCUGGCGGCAUGCUUUACACAUGCAAGUCGAACGGUAACAGGCCUUCGGGCGCUGACGAGUGGCGAACGGGUGAGUAAUGCAUCGGAACGUGCCCAGAGGUGGGGGAUAACGCAGCGAAAGCUGUGCUAAUACCGCAUAUUAUCUGAGGAUGAAAGCGGGGGACUAAGCAGCAAUGUUUGGCCUCGCGCCUUUGGAGCGGCCGAUGUCAGAUUAGGUAGUUGUGGGGUAAAGGCCUACCAAGCCGACGAUCUGUAGCUGGUCUGAGAGGACGACCAGCCACACUGGGACUGAGACACGGCCCAGACUCCUACGGGAGGCAGCAGUGGGGAAUUUUGGACAAUGGGCGCAAGCCUGAUCCAGCAAUGCCGCGUGCAGGAAGAAGGGCCUUCGGUUGUAAACUGCUUUGUACGGUAACGAAAAGGACGUC
RNAcentral lists this ribosomal RNA (435 nucleotides) under uncultured bacterium. Its description in RNAcentral is "bacterial SSU rRNA". It matches the Rfam family "Bacterial small subunit ribosomal RNA", at positions 30 to 458 of the family's 1533-position model. The record is from RNAcentral.